AAGCCUGUCUCAGUUCGGAUUGGAGUCUGNAACCCGACUCCAUGAAGCUGGAUUCGCUAGUAAUCGCGCAUCAGCCACGGCGCGGUGAAUACGUUCCCGGGCCUUGUACACACCGCCCGUCAAGCCAUGGAAGCCGGGGGUGCCUGAAGUGCGCUGCCGCAAGGAGCGCCCUAGGGUAAAACCGGUGACUGGGGCUAAGUCGUAACAAGGUAAC
RNAcentral lists this ribosomal RNA (214 nucleotides) under uncultured bacterium. Its description in RNAcentral is "partial 16S ribosomal RNA". It matches the Rfam family "Bacterial small subunit ribosomal RNA", at positions 1279 to 1500 of the family's 1533-position model. The record is from RNAcentral.